UACGGAGGUGGCAAGCGUUACUCGGAAUCAUUGGGUGUAAAGGGCAAGUAGGUGGUCUGUUAAGUGAGGGGUGAAAUCCUGCGACUCAAUCGCAGAACUGCCUUUCAAACUGGCAGACUUGAGGGUGGAAGAGGACAAUGGAAUUCUCGGUGUAAGGGUGAAAUCUGUAGAUAUCGAGAAGAACACCAGCGGCGAAGGCGAUUGUCUGGUCCAUACCUGACACUAAAUUGCGAAAGCUAGGGGAGCAAACAGA
Molecule: ribosomal RNA, 253 nt
Filed under: uncultured bacterium
Lineage: Bacteria
Description: partial 16S ribosomal RNA
Rfam family: Bacterial small subunit ribosomal RNA
Source: RNAcentral